Long non-coding RNA from Chelonia mydas (Green sea turtle), 4323 nucleotides. RefSeq lists it as uncharacterized. The transcript is spliced from 2 exons. Lineage: Eukaryota; Metazoa; Chordata; Testudines; Cheloniidae. The record is from RefSeq and is a predicted model, not a curated record.
GUCUGGGGAGAACUACCUGGUGAAAUUGCUAAGCAGUGAAGCCUCAGAACACGGUAUUGCGGCUAGAGGCAGAGGCGACAGUAGAGACAGGGGUGAGCAGCAGCAGCAAAGCGGUGGCAGAGGCUACAGAGGUCAGCCACAGAGGCAUUGAUCAGUCCCCCCUUUCAGGGGUGGGAAUGAGCCACGUGGACACCCCCCCAAAUUCUAGGACUUUGCUGACUUCGGACAACCAACUGUGAGUGGGGUGCAGCAGAGGGAAAGGGGAGUUGUGUUUUAAAGGGACAUUCAUCCAUCAGACUUCCACACCACAAGCUGGGAAACUGGGGCAACUGACACGGCCCAAGAUAUUGUGGAACAGGCGUUUACUUACAGUUUGCAUACUUUUGAAUCAUUGUUGCAGUGUUUUCCCAAAGAAAUGCUGAGUGCCCUCUCCCUUUUAUUGAAAGUUUUCGUUUGUUAUACACAGACUCAGUGCUUGUGAGUGAGGUGCAUGUUGCCUCUUAGAGGUGCCUGGGGCGGUGUUCAGUUUUCCCAGAUUACUGGGUGGGGGCUUGAGCUGGUUCUCUUUUGCAGUGUUAAGAGGAAUCCCUAGAUAUUGAAAGUGGCCCUUGUUUCUGCCUACACCACCUGGCAGAAGUAUAUCUGUACCCUUUCAAUAUCUAGGGAUUCCUCUUAACACUGCAAAAGAGAACCAGCUCAAGCCCCCACCCAGUAAUCUGGGAAAACUAAACACCACCCCAGGCACCUCUAAGAGGCAACAUGCACCCCGUGUGUGCGUGUAUAUAAUAUAUAUCUAAAAAAGGGACUUAAACUUAAGUGCAAAGGGUGUCCCACCUUCAGGUUUAUUGCAGAGUUUGCGUGUGUGUGUCUCUCUCUCUGCUCCAAAAGCGUUUGAUGUAUAUCGCUGGGACAUAAACAUAUGUACAAAGUGUCCAAAGCGGCCUUGCUACUUGGCCGCUAAAUAUGUUGUUUCAUGCAUGGCAGACAAAAUCUGUGCAUCCAAACAAACACUUUUAUACAUGAAUUGGAUAGAACUACGUGAUUGGUAUGAGCAAAGAUCCUCUGCACAUCACGUGUGUUUUUCAUGUACAAAUACUUGCAUGCAAAUAUAUUGUAACCUUAAGGCCUUUUUUUUUUUUAAAUGGCCAUCUUCUUCUGAGAGCUUUGCCUGAAUACGGCUUGGGCUGUAUAGUACAUGUCGUGCUCUGCUGAACAGCAGUUCUCCUGGAGUGAAAUGUGCUGCUGAACAGUGGACAGCAAUACUGCGCGAUGCUUUAGGACAAGAACUGAAGAUGCUCACAAGCCUCCUGGACCGGUGGCCAGGACCCGGGCAGUUUGAGUGCCACUGAAAAUCAGCUUGCGUGCUGCCUUCGGCACGUGUGCCAUAGCUUGCCCACCCCUGCCUUAAAGCAUGUGCAUACUGCUCUUGAUGCCAGUGGGACUGCUCACAUGCGGAAAGCGAAGCAUCUGCAUAAAUGUUUGCAGGGUGAGAACUUGUUUUGAAACCUACUGGAGAAAACAAAAUCAGAUGACGACAAUUUUUUCGCACUUCUGGUCAACAGACGGGUGCCAUAAUGAUUAACAGCUAGCAAAAUCUCUUUUGUGCAUCAUCCUGUUAACCACAAAUUCUUUCCCCUUAUUGGCCACCUGCUUUUGCUAAACAUCCGCAUCAUUUUUUCACUAAUUGCUCUGCCCACAAAAUACAUGUUCCCAGACCUCUUUUUUUUUUUUUUUGCUGGAAACAGUUUGGUUUCCAACUAUAUGCUACUUACUCGAAUUAAGUGGCGUCAUUUCAGAAAAAAAAAAUUUGGGGGAGUGGGGGGAGAUUGUAUCAGCAAAUAGAACAUUAUAUGUGAUUAUGUUCUAUCCUGCAAGGUUGGAGGGGUGGGGAAGGAGCAUAUAGACCUAUGAAAAGUUGGGUGGGGAGCAAACCAAGGCUAGUAUGUAUGUGUGUGUGGGGGGGGGCAACAGCCCCCUUUGCCCAAGAUCAGAUAAUGCCCCUGCUCUAAUGUUCACUGUAAAGGAUCUUAAAGUACCAAAAUACUUUACAUACAAACGCUCCCCAUCGUAUUGCUUUGUGCUGUAGAAACCUGCACGUUUGCCCUUCCUGCCUCUUGCUCACUUAAACUGCAACUUUACGGUGACUUUAAUAGUAUAGGGCUUUUUGCGUCUAGACUGAGACUUCAAAGCAGCCUAAGGGAGUUAAGUACCCAAUUCCUAUUGAAUUUCAGUGGGAUUCGAGUGCUUAAAUGUCAGGGUCAGAUGAAAUCUCCUAAUUUUUUAAAAGGAAACCAUAUAAAAUGAAACAUGAACCUGUAUUUCAUUGUUGUAUUUUGGAAUAAAACUUCUUCUUCGAGUGCUUGCUCACGUUCACUCCAAUCAGGUGUCUGCGCGCGCACGGGCACGGUAGCCGGAAGAUUUUCCCCCUAGCAGCAUCCGUGGGGAAAAAUCUUCCAGCUACUGUGCCCGUGCAUGGACACACCUGAUUGGAGUGGACGUGAACAACACAUCUUGAAGAACAACACUUACCGAGAAGGUGAGUAACCAUUUUUUUCAACAGAUCAUGCUUAAAAACGUCCCAGGGUUGAUAGAUAGAGCAGUAGCAUCCGAUGAAGUGAGCUGUAGCUCACGAAAGCUCAUGCUCAAAUAAAUUGGUUAGUCUCUAAGGUGCCACAAGUCCUCCUGUUCUUUUUGCGAAUACAGACUAACACGGCUGUUACUCUGAAACCAGAGCAGUAGCAGGUUCUGUGGUCAGAGUUAGACGUGGAGGCUUCUACCACAGCAGCCUGUUCAGUAGUUGUUGCUGAAUCCCCCCCCCCCCCCCCCCAAUUCAUGAGAACAAAUUCACGCACGUUUUAUAAACAACGAAGAACAAAUUUAGGAGAUUUUCAUCUGAGCCUGAGAUUUAAGCGCUCGAAUCCCACUGAAAUUCAGUAGGAAUAAUUGGGUACUUAACGCAUCUCAUUCAGACUCCUUUACACCUUCUUUGAGGUAUUUCAAUUACUCUCCUUCUAACAACGUUUUUUGUCAUCCUCCAUAACGGUUUCACUUUUCCGGAGGACGCAGAGUAAGAGGUCUCUUUACAAAAUGCAUCUGAAAUAAAGAGCACGUGGUGACACCAGCAGAAUCAUUACGUUUAGUGAUCACGCAGGAAAAGAGCACGAAGUGAGUCAAUGAUCAGGCAGGAUUUGGUCAUUGCUGAGGCUUUUGUGGUAUAGAUUUCUCCAGUGGAGCUGACCCAAACACCAGCCUAGAACACAGGCCUGAGGUCAGAGUCUGAGGCUGUUUAUUAAAUAAAGUAGUUUGUUCUUCGCAUAUCGGCCUAUGGACACACAACAAAUUACAUUGGUGCAAUGCAGUAGAGUACCUCAGUGUAAGGGUAGCUAGCUCAGAGCACUUCAGUCCCACUCUCCUUGUGCCUGGCAGCACUCAGGAAUAACAUGACUUCUGUCUUAUAAAAGAAUGAUACUUGCCCCUUCCCUUUCUGUUACUGAUGGACAACAAUCCCAUCGGCAGAAUCAGAAUGUGCUUUAAAAAAGCCUCUUUGUGAGUGAAGUUUGAAAAACUGUUUCAUUUCUGUUCCUCAUCCCCCUUCCCGCUUCCAUUUUAAGCCCCCUAUGCACCUUCUGUGCUGUCUCCUCUCCUUUCUCACCUGUCCCUUGUUCUCCUGCCCUCUUCUCGGUGUAAACAUGUGUAAAUGUCGAAGUGUAAAAGUGCAGGAGGGAGGGAGCAGAGCAGCUAACAGAAUGUUUUUUUAAAGGCAUCAGGGCUGGCGACGCUGUCACGCUCCAUCGGCGCAGCUGGAUGAUACAGCUGCCCCGGUGCAGCACGUCUGGUGAAGACACGCUAUGCUGACGGGAGAGGGCUCUCCCUUCGGCAUAAUGACUCCACUCACUGAGAGGUGUGCGCGUUGCUGGUGGGAGAGCGUUUCCUGCCCACAUAGCCUGGUGUGGACACCGCUUUAUGUUGAUGUAACUGAUGUCGCUUGGGGGGUGGUUUUUUCACACUGAGCGACGUAACUGACAUCGACUUAAGGAGUAGUGUAGACAAGCCCUUUAUGUUCGUAUAAUAUUUUAAACAUUUAAAAAAGAGAUGAGAGCAGUGGUCCCAUCUUUAUAUUCGCCAAUCCACUUUUAAACAACCUUAACGCUAGAGCAGGGUGAAAUUCUUUGGCCAAAUCUAUUUUUCAAUUAAAAACGCAGAUUCAGGGUGAGUGAAACAUUUUGUGAAUUCACGUCUAAUUCACUAAAUUGUUUUGAUCAAAGACAAACCUAAAAAAGUUCCCCCCAAAAUGGAACAAUGGAAAUGGAAAUCUUUUAAAGA